GGAAGAGUGGCAGAGUGGUUGAUUGCAUCAGUCUUGAAAACUGACGUGUUAGUAGCACCGUGAGUUCGAAUCUCACCUCUUCCG
RNAcentral lists this transfer RNA (84 nucleotides) under Synechococcus phage S-CAM3. It matches the Rfam family "tRNA". From Rfam's summary of the family: Transfer RNA (tRNA) molecules are approximately 80 nucleotides in length. Lineage: Duplodnaviria; Heunggongvirae; Uroviricota; Caudoviricetes; Pantevenvirales; Kyanoviridae. The record is from Rfam by way of RNAcentral.